RNAcentral lists this ribosomal RNA (391 nucleotides) under uncultured bacterium. RNAcentral's name for it is "bacterial SSU rRNA". It matches the Rfam family "Bacterial small subunit ribosomal RNA", at positions 29 to 410 of the family's 1533-position model. The record is from RNAcentral.
AACGAACGCUGGCGGCGCGCCUAAUACAUGCAAGUCGAGCGAGAAGACGUAGCAAUACGUUUGUAAAGCGGCGAACGGGUGAGGAAUACAUGGGUAACCUACCCUCGAGUGGGGAAGUAACUAGCCGAAAGGUUAGCUAAUACCGCGUACGCUCCUUGGACUUCGGUUCAGGGAGGAAAGCGAUACCGUGGGUAUCGCGCUCUUGGAUGGGCUCAUGUCCUAUCAGCUUGUUGGUGAGGAACGGCUCACCAAGGCUUCGACGGGUAGCUGGUCUGAGAGGACGAUCAGCCACACUGGCACUGCGACACGGGCCAGACUCCUACGGGAGGCAGCAGUAAGGAAUAUUGCGCAAUGGGCGAAAGCCUGACGCAGCGACGCCGCGUGGGGGAGU